This 350-nucleotide ribosomal RNA is filed under the name Machlotes sp. CO908. RNAcentral describes it as "partial 12S ribosomal RNA". Lineage: Eukaryota; Metazoa; Arthropoda; Insecta; Coleoptera; Bothrideridae. The record is from RNAcentral.
UAAAAAUGUAAUUUAUUUAUUCUUAAUUAGUAUUAGUUAAAUUCUUAAAAGUUAAAGAUUUUGGCGGUAUUUUAGUCUUUUCAGAGGAACCUGUUCUAUAAUUGAUAAUCCACGAUUAAUUUUACUUUUAUUAUUAAUUUAUAUAUCGUCGUAGUUGAAUAUUUUAAAAGAAUAAAUAUUCGAGAUUUUUUAUUAAAUUAGAAAUCAGAUCAAGGUGUAGUUUAUAUAAAAGGAGUAAUGGGUUACAAUAAAUUUAUUUAUAUGAAUAUAAAAUUGAAAAUAUUUUAUUGAAAGUGGAUUUGUUAGUAAUUUUAAUUAUUUAUUAGGAUGAUUUUAGCUCUAAAAUAUGU